CUACGGGUCGCAGCAGUGGGGAAUAUUGGACAAUGGGGGAAACCCUGAUCCAGCAAUGCCGCGUGUGUGAAGAGGGCCUGCGGGUUGUAAAGCACUUUCGGUUGGGAGGACUGCUUCUAGCACUAAUAUUGUUGGAAGUUGACGUUACCUUCAGAAGAAGCACCGGCUAACUCCGUGCCAGCAGCCGCGGUAAUACGGAGGGUGCAAGCGUUAAUCGGAAUUACUGGGCGUAAAGCGCGCGUAGGCGGCUAGAUCAGUCGGGUGUGAAAGCCCCGGGCUUAACCUGGGAACUGCAUCCGAUACUGUCUAGCUUGAGUACAGGAGAGGGGAGUGGAAUUCCACAUGUAGCGGUGAAAUGCGUAGAUAUGUGGAGGAACACCAAUGGCGAAGGCAGCUCUCUGGCCUGAUACUGACGCUGAGGUGCGAAAGCGUGGGGAGCAAACGGGAUUAGAUACCCCAGUAGUC
This 465-nucleotide ribosomal RNA is filed under the name uncultured bacterium. Its description in RNAcentral is "partial 16S ribosomal RNA". It matches the Rfam family "Bacterial small subunit ribosomal RNA", at positions 339 to 795 of the family's 1533-position model. The record is from RNAcentral.